AGCGAACGCUGGCGGCAGGCCUAACACAUGCAAGUCGAACGAACUCUUCGGAGUUAGUGGCGGACGGGUGAGUAACACGUGGGGACGUGCCUUUUGGUUCGGAAUAACUCAGGGAAACUUGUGCUAAUACCGAAUGUGCCCUUCGGGGAAAAGAUUUAUCGCCAUUAGAGCGGCCCGCGUCUGAUUAGCUAGUUGGUGAGGUAACGGCUCACCAAGGCGACGAUCAGUAGCUGGUCUGAGAGGAUGACCAGCCACACUGGGACUGAGACACGGCCCAGACUCCUACGGGAGGCAGCAGUGGGAAAUCUUGCGCAAUGGGCGAAAGCCUGACGCAGCCAUGCCGCGUGAAUGAUGAAGGUCUUAGGAUUGUAAAAUUCUUUCACCGGGGACGAUAAUGACGGUACCCGGAGAAGAAGCCCCGGCUAACUUCGUG
This 433-nucleotide ribosomal RNA is filed under the name uncultured bacterium. RNAcentral describes it as "partial 16S ribosomal RNA". It matches the Rfam family "Bacterial small subunit ribosomal RNA", at positions 29 to 507 of the family's 1533-position model. The record is from RNAcentral.